Molecule: unclassified non-coding RNA, 290 nt
Filed under: Hevea brasiliensis (rubber tree)
Lineage: Eukaryota; Viridiplantae; Streptophyta; Magnoliopsida; Malpighiales; Euphorbiaceae
Source: RNAcentral
GGAUUACAUUCGUAAAAGCAGGGUAUGUGGAAACUUCAUAAUCUUGAUACUAAUUUUUGAAUUGUUUUCCCCUUGAUGCCCAAUUGCCCGUGAAUAAAUUUGAACUUCUAACUUUUCUAGGCUAUUCUCCCUCUUGUGAUAAAAUUUUAUGGCGUAAUAUAGAAUGAAGUCCAGUAAAACAUCCAUCAUUCUUGAGCUUGAUAUUGGGUUAAUUGAUUUUUGAAGCUAUAUGUGGUCAGUUCUAGCAUGACAUAUAGAUAAUUCAACUGAAUCCUGACAGCUAGGUAUUU